Molecule: non-coding RNA, 1037 nt
Organism: Schizosaccharomyces pombe (fission yeast)
Lineage: Eukaryota; Fungi; Ascomycota; Schizosaccharomycetes; Schizosaccharomycetales; Schizosaccharomycetaceae
Source: the annotation of a GenBank genome assembly
AAGAGUAUUUCACCAAAGUAAUUAUAAACUUCGCUUGAAUUAGGGAACCUCUUUUUACAAUCUUCAAAUGUCUUCAUUGAUUCCGCAAUUGCAUGAGUCUUAUAUUGAGCUACUCCAAGUUGGAUAUGGCUAUAAAUAAAAGAGUCAUCCAAUGCAAUAGACUUUUGAUAAUCAGAAAUGGCUUCUGCAAACUCACCAGAAACAAACCUAACUUGUGCACGAUGAUAAUAAAGAUCCGAAUCGGUUUUAUCAACAGAUUCUGCAUCAUUCAGUACCUUCCACAUUUUUUCAUUAUCAUUUUCAUCUAAAUAAGCGGCUGAGAGACGAAUAUAUGGUUGAAUGAACUUGCGAUCUAAUUUAAUAGCUGCAUUAAAAUUUUCCAUCGAACCUUUAGAGUCACCAGAUACAAAUUUAAAAGUACCAACUAGAUUAUGAGUGCGAGCAUUAACCGAAGGAGAUGAGAAAGAUCCCAGACAGGAUUCCUUUGCUUUAUCGUACGAAAGUUGAUAUUCACCCUUUUCUAAAUAUUCAUAAGCCUCUGCUAAAGCAGCAUCACCGUCAAAUUUAUUAUCAAACAAAGGUUUUGGUUGAGCAUGGAAUGAAUCGAGAUAAGUCUGGAUAAAGCUGGCAGCUGGCAAUUUAGGAGGACGUUCCUUUAAAAGAGCAGACGACUUCUUUUCAGCAACCUUUUUUAACAAUCGUUCAACGGUAGCAGUCAUACUCUCAUUAGCGAAGCCAUCGAAAAUGCAGGAAACGGUACUAUCCAUAAGGGCUUCAUCCAAUUUACCAAGUUGCUCAUAAGCAGCAGAACGACGAUUUAACGCUUUCACAUAGCUUGAAUCAAGUGAAAGAGCUUCACUUGUAUCCUUAAUUACUUGCUCAAAAUCACCGAUGGCUGCAUAACAGGCUGCACGAUUAGAGAAGAAAAUAGGGUCAUGAGAGCAGGUGAUAGCCUGAGUAUAAUAGUCAAUAGCAUUAGCAUAUUCCUUUUGUCCAUAAGCCUUAUUACCAAGAGUCUUUAACUCGGCAGCCAAUUU